RNAcentral lists this ribosomal RNA (480 nucleotides) under uncultured bacterium. RNAcentral's name for it is "partial 16S ribosomal RNA". It matches the Rfam family "Bacterial small subunit ribosomal RNA", at positions 28 to 523 of the family's 1533-position model. The record is from RNAcentral.
GAUGAACGCUGGCGGCGUGCCUAACACAUGCAAGUCGAACGGUUAAGGCGGCUUCGGCCGCGAAUAAAGUGGCGAACGGGUGAGUAGCGCGUGACCGACCUUCCCCCCGCACCGGGACAACCGCGGGAAACCGCGGCUGAUACCGGGUACUCCGGGGCCCUCGCAUGGGGGCCCCCGGAAAGCUCCGGCGGCGGGGGAUGGGGUCGCGUCCCAUCAGGUAGUAGGCGGGGCAACGGCCCACCUAGCCGACGACGGGUAGCCGGGUUGAGAGACCGACCGGCCACAUUGGGACUGAGAUACGGCCCAGACUCCUACGGGAGGCAGCAGUGGGGAAUUUUGCGCAAUGGGGGCAACACUGACGCAGCAACGCCGCGUGCGGGACGACGGCCUUCGGGUUGUAAACCGCUUUCAGCAGGGAAGAACCUAAGACGGUACCUGCAGAAGAAGCCCCGGCUAACUACGUGCCAGCAGCCGCCGUAA